This 701-nucleotide ribosomal RNA is filed under the name fungal sp. RNAcentral describes it as "eukaryotic LSU rRNA". The stretch from base 197 to 351 matches the Rfam family "5.8S ribosomal RNA". The record is from RNAcentral. Lineage: Eukaryota; Fungi.
UUACCGAGUAAGGGUCUCACUGGCCCGAUCUCCCAACCCUUUGUCUACUUGACCAUCGUUGCUUCGGCGAGCCCGUCCUCACGGACCGCCGGGGGGUCUCUGCACCCCUUGGCCCGCGCUCGUCGAUAGCCCCCAAACUUAAAAAAUCUUAACUAAACGUGUCUUGAAUCUAAGUAUUAUUGUUAAAUAAAAACAAAACUUUCAACAACGGAUCUCUUGGCUCUGGCAUCGAUGAAGAACGCAGCGAAAUGCGAUAAGUAAUGCGAAUUGCAGAAUUCCAGUGAGUCAUCGAAUCUUUGAACGCACAUUGCGCCCUUUGGUAUUCCGAAGGGCAUGCCUGUUCGAGCGUCAUUAUCACCCCUCAAGCCCUCGGCUUGGUGUUGGACGGUUUGGUGGAGACCCCCUUCGCGGGCUUCUACCCCUCCCAAAGACAAUGACGGCGGCCUCGUUGGACCCCCGGUACACUGAGUUCUUCACGGGACACGUAUCGGACACAUGGGUUUACGGGACACGGUCUGCCUCCCCUCAGGGAGAAUCUUUUUUAUCAAGGUUGACCUCGGAUCAGGUAGGGAUACCCGCUGAACUUAAGCAUAUCAAUAAGCGGAGGAAAAGAAACCAACAGGGAUUGCCUCAGUAACGGCGAGUGAAGCGGCAACAGCUCAAUUUGAAAUCUGGCCCCUUUGGGGGUCCGAGUUGUAUUU